GAUGAACGCUGGCGGCGUGCCUAACACAUGCAAGUCGAACGAGAAGUGAAGAAGGAUUCUCUCGGGCGGAAGGCUCUAGUUGGAGUGGCGGACGGGUGAGUAACUCGCGGGUAGCCUGCCUUAUACAGGGGGAUAACAGUCUGAAACCACUGUUUAUAUCGCAUCAGACUACACCAUCGUAUGGUGCGGGGGUUAAUACUCUGGUAGUAUGAGAUGGACCCGCGUUGGAUUAGCCAGUUGGCAGGGUAACGGCCCACCAAAGCGACGAUCGAUAGCCGACCUGAGAGGAUGACCGGCCACACUGGGACUGAGACACGGCCCAGACUCCUACGGGAGGCAGCAGUGGGGAAUAUUGCACAAUGGGGGAAAGCCUGAUGCAGCGACGCCGCGUGAGUGAUGAAGUCUUUCGGGAUGUAAAGCUCUAUUACCAGGGAAGAUAAUGACGGUACCUGAAGAAUAAGCCCCGGCUAACUACGUG
Molecule: ribosomal RNA, 478 nt
Filed under: uncultured bacterium
Lineage: Bacteria
Description: partial 16S ribosomal RNA
Rfam family: Bacterial small subunit ribosomal RNA
Source: RNAcentral